CCAAUACUCUGGAGAAUAGAGAGGGAGCAUGUUCUGCCCUAUGAAGCUGGCACAAAAUGAAGCCUGUGAAUGAUCCAUCACCUGUGGAGCAGAAUCCUUACGAGAGGGAUUUGUUAUGGGCAGUCCCAGGUGUUGGAUCUUGGAGUGAGCGUGGACAAACAGAGCCCACAAUCUCCACACUGGCCCGGGGUGUUUGUGAAGCUUUGCCAGAGCGCCUGACCCCAUGGCACUUGUCACAUUUAUGGAGGAGAAGGACUAGAGCCCAACAGUGCUACUCGAAAGUUAGGAAAUCAGUAAACAAUUCAGAUGAUGCACUGGAAAUCCUUGUCCAAAUAUCAGCUUAUUUAAUUGACUCAUUCUCACAGAGAAUAACCUGGAGAGUGCUCUUUUGUUUUCCUCCUUCAUACCUCUGCCUCUUCUUUAGAAAAAAGGUAAAUUUUAAGUUAAUGGAUAAUAAUGCUACAGCUUUUCAGUCAAGUUUAAAACGCACAUACCAAAAUAAACCCAAAGUUUCCACUUUGUACCCAAAACAGUAAAAAAAAAAAAAUAAAAAGCAAAGCAGUGCAUGAGGGUUUUAAUUC
This 581-nucleotide long non-coding RNA is filed under the name Cyanistes caeruleus (blue tit). RNAcentral's name for it is "lncRNA (ENSCCEG00000011654.1)". The record is from RNAcentral. Lineage: Eukaryota; Metazoa; Chordata; Aves; Passeriformes; Paridae.